This 522-nucleotide long non-coding RNA is filed under the name Mytilus galloprovincialis (Mediterranean mussel). Lineage: Eukaryota; Metazoa; Mollusca; Bivalvia; Mytilida; Mytilidae. The record is from RNAcentral.
UGAAUGGAGGUUUAUAUGUACUAUUCAACAAGAAAAUGUGUCCACCAAUACACAGAUGCCCUAUUUGAACUAAAUAUAAAUAGAAGAUGUAGUAUGAUUGCCAAUGACAACUUUCCACAAGAGACCCAAAAAACUCGGAAAUUAACAAUUAUAGGUAAUCGUACAGCCUUCAACAAUGAGCAAAGCCCAUACCGCACAGUCAGCUAAAGACCCGAAAUGACAAUGUAAAACAAUUCAAUGGAGAAAACAAAAUGCCUUAUUUAUAUUAAAAAAAAAUGAAUGAAAAACAAAUAUAUAACAAAUAAACAAAUGAUAACCACUGUCAGAUUUACAGGCUCUCGACUUGGGACAGACACAUACAUAAAGUAUGUAUUAUUUACUAUGUUCAGUGAACCAUGAAAUCUGGGUCGAAACUUUAAUUCAACAUACAAUUUAGAAAGACCAAGUCAUAAAUAAAAUUUCACCGAGUCUCAAGUUUGAUGUGACUUCAUCUUCAUUAUCAUGAUUAUAGAAAACCUUGGC